UACGAAGGGGGCUAGCGUUGCUCGGAAUCACUGGGCGUAAAGCGCACGUAGGCGGCUUUUUAAGUCAGAGGUGAAAUCCUGGAGCUCAACUCCAGAACUGCCUUUGAUACUGGAGAGCUUGAGUCCGGGAGAGGUGAGUGGAACUGCGAGUGUAGAGGUGAAAUUCGUAGAUAUUCGCAAGAACACCAGUGGCGAAGGCGGCUCACUGACCCGGUACUGACGCUGAGGUGCGAAAGCGUGGGGAGCAAACAGG
This 253-nucleotide ribosomal RNA is filed under the name uncultured bacterium. RNAcentral's name for it is "partial 16S ribosomal RNA". It matches the Rfam family "Bacterial small subunit ribosomal RNA", at positions 524 to 776 of the family's 1533-position model. The record is from RNAcentral.